UACAGAGGAUGCAAGCGUUAUCCGGAAUGAUUGGGCGUAAAGCGUCUGUAGGUGGCUUUUUAAGUCCGCCGUCAAAUCCCAGGGCUCAACUCUGGACAGGCGGUGGAAACUACCAAGCUGGAGUACGGUAGGGGCAGAGGGAAUUUCCGGUGGAGCGGUGAAAUGCGUAGAGAUGUGGAGGAACACCUGUGGCGAAGGCGCCUUGCUGGCCGACUUCUGACGCUGAGGCGCGAAAGCGUGGGGAGCAAACAGG
RNAcentral lists this ribosomal RNA (253 nucleotides) under uncultured bacterium. Its description in RNAcentral is "partial 16S ribosomal RNA". It matches the Rfam family "Bacterial small subunit ribosomal RNA", at positions 524 to 776 of the family's 1533-position model. The record is from RNAcentral.